Molecule: ribosomal RNA, 2361 nt
Filed under: Salmonella enterica subsp. enterica serovar Typhi str. CT18
Lineage: Bacteria; Pseudomonadati; Pseudomonadota; Gammaproteobacteria; Enterobacterales; Enterobacteriaceae
Description: partial 23S ribosomal RNA
Rfam family: Bacterial large subunit ribosomal RNA
Source: RNAcentral
CUGCGUACCUUUUGUAUAAUGGGUCAGCGACUUAUAUUCUGUAGCAAGGUUAACUGUAUAGGGGAGCCGGAGGGAAACCGAGUCUUAACCGGGCGUUAAGUUGCAGGGUAUAGACCCGAAACCCGGUGAUCUAGCCAUGGGCAGGUUGAAGGUUGGGUAACACUAACUGGAGGACCGAACCGACUAAUGUUGAAAAAUUAGCGGAUGACCUGUGGCUGGGGGUGAAAGGCCAAUCAAACCGGGAGAUAGCUGGUUCUCCCCGAAAGCUAUUUAGGUAGCGCCUCGUGAAUUCAUCUCCGGGGGUAGAGCACUGUUUCGGCUAGGGGGCCAUCCCGGCUUACCAACCCGAUGCAAACUGCGAAUACCGGAGAAUGUUAUCACGGGAGACACACGGCGGGUGCUAAUGUCCGUCGUGAAGAGGGAAACAACCCAGACCGCCAGCUAAGGUCCCAAAGUCAUGGUUAAGUGGGAAACGAUGUGGGAAGGCCCAGACAGCCAGGAUGUUGGCUUAGAAGCAGCCAUCAUUUAAAGAAAGCGUAAUAGCUCACUGGUCGAGUCGGCCUGCGCGGAAGAUGUAACGGGGCUAAACCAUGCACCGAAGCUGCGGCAGCGACACCGUGUGUUGUUGGGUAGGGGAGCGUUCUGUAAGCCUGUGAAGGUGUGCUGUGAGGCAUGCUGGAGGUAUCAGAAGUGCGAAUGCUGACAUAAGUAACGAUAAAGCGGGUGAAAAGCCCGCUCGCCGGAAGACCAAGGGUUCCUGUCCAACGUUAAUCGGGGCAGGGUGAGUCGACCCCUAAGGCGAGGCCGAAAGGCGUAGUCGAUGGGAAACGGGUUAAUAUUCCCGUACUUGGUGUUACUGCGAAGGGGGGACGGAGAAGGCUAUGUUGGCCGGGCGACGGUUGUCCCGGUUUAAGCGUGUAGGUAUGUGUUCCAGGUAAAUCCGGUUCACUUUAACACUGAGGCGUGACGACGAGGCACUACGGUGCUGAAGCAACAAAUGCCCUGCUUCCAGGAAAAGCCUCUAAGCAUCAGGUAACAUCAAAUCGUACCCCAAACCGACACAGGUGGUCAGGUAGAGAAUACCAAGGCGCUUGAGAGAACUCGGGUGAAGGAACUAGGCAAAAUGGUGCCGUAACUUCGGGAGAAGGCACGCUGACACGUAGGUGAAGUGAUUUACUCACGGAGCUGAAGUCAGCCGAAGAUACCAGCUGGCUGCAACUGUUUAUUAAAAACACAGCACUGUGCAAACACGAAAGUGGACGUAUACGGUGUGACGCCUGCCCGGUGCCGGAAGGUUAAUUGAUGGGGUCAGCGCAAGCGAAGCUCCUGAUCGAAGCCCCGGUAAACGGCGGCCGUAACUAUAACGGUCCUAAGGUAGCGAAAUUCCUUGUCGGGUAAGUUCCGACCUGCACGAAUGGCGUAAUGAUGGCCAGGCUGUCUCCACCCGAGACUCAGUGAAAUUGAACUCGCUGUGAAGAUGCAGUGUACCCGCGGCAAGACGGAAAGACCCCGUGAACCUUUACUAUAGCUUGACACUGAACAUUGAGCCUUGAUGUGUAGGAUAGGUGGGAGGCUUUGAAGUGUGGACGCCAGUCUGCAUGGAGCCGACCUUGAAAUACCACCCUUUAAUGUUUGAUGUUCUAACGUGGACCCGUGAUCCGGGUUGCGGACAGUGUCUGGUGGGUAGUUUGACUGGGGCGGUCUCCUCCUAAAGAGUAACGGAGGAGCACGAAGGUUGGCUAAUCCUGGUCGGACAUCAGGAGGUUAGUGCAAUGGCAUAAGCCAGCUUGACUGCGAGCGUGACGGCGCGAGCAGGUGCGAAAGCAGGUCAUAGUGAUCCGGUGGUUCUGAAUGGAAGGGCCAUCGCUCAACGGAUAAAAGGUACUCCGGGGAUAACAGGCUGAUACCGCCCAAGAGUUCAUAUCGACGGCGGUGUUUGGCACCUCGAUGUCGGCUCAUCACAUCCUGGGGCUGAAGUAGGUCCCAAGGGUAUGGCUGUUCGCCAUUUAAAGUGGUACGCGAGCUGGGUUUAGAACGUCGUGAGACAGUUCGGUCCCUAUCUGCCGUGGGCGCUGGAGAACUGAGGGGGGCUGCUCCUAGUACGAGAGGACCGGAGUGGACGCAUCACUGGUGUUCGGGUUGUCAUGCCAAUGGCACUGCCCGGUAGCUAAAUGCGGAAGAGAUAAGUGCUGAAAGCAUCUAAGCACGAAACUUGCCCCGAGAUGAGUUCUCCCUGAGACUUUAGGUCUCCUGAAGGAACGUUGAAGACGACGACGUUGAUAGGCCGGGUGUGUAAGCGCAGCGAUGCGUUGAGCUAACCGGUACUAAUGAACCGUGAGGCUUAACCUUACAACGCCGAAG